RNAcentral lists this unclassified non-coding RNA (696 nucleotides) under Hevea brasiliensis (rubber tree). The record is from RNAcentral. Lineage: Eukaryota; Viridiplantae; Streptophyta; Magnoliopsida; Malpighiales; Euphorbiaceae.
GCAGCAGCAAGCAAUAUGAAAGGUGGUGGUCUUAUCCAUGCUCAGUUUGCCGCUGCACAGUCCUCGGGGAAGCCGCAUCUUGUACCUGGGUUCCCUUAUGUUCAUGCUGUUCAGGUGAAGCCAGCGGAGCAGAAACAACCUGCUGCAGAGUAGAAACAUGUCUCCAUUACUUAACAUGGCAAGCCCCAGGCGGGAAGCUAUGGAGAGAGCAAUUAAAGCUGAACAAAAUUUGGGUGAAUGAGGAUUGCAUGCCCUUUGGCAGUGAGAAGAAAUUAGAGAAAUGAUGAAUAUCGACGGAAGCAUGCAUUUCGGAUUAGAACCCAUACUUUUGAGGGAGGAAGUUGAGCCAGUGCGAAUGGUCGUUUGCAAUGUCCAUUGAUCUCCGUAUAUUUGUGUUCAUAACCUGACGAGGUUAAAUCUUCAGCUUUCCAAUUAAGUUCAAUUGGUUUGAUGUGGCAUGAGAACGGAGGACGAAGCAAAGUCAAAAGUUUGACGGAAGUUUUUUAGGGGGAAGAUAAUGGUGAAGAUUGAGGGGAGGGGAAGAGAAAAAGGAUCUACUGCCUUUCUCCUUUUUGGGAUAGCAAUGGAGGAUUUUUCUUUUUCACUUAAUGUUAGAUUUUUCUUUCUUUUUCUGGGGUUCUAAUAUUAUUUUCCAGAAAGAACAGUAGACAAUCUCUUUAGAACAUAUAUAUAUAU